GACGAACGCUGGCGGCGUGCUUAACACAUGCAAGUCGAACGGAAAGGCCCUGCUUUUGUGGGGUGCUCGAGUGGCGAACGGGUGAGUAACACGUGAGUAACCUGCCCUUGACUUUGGGAUAACUUCAGGAAACUGGGGCUAAUACCGGAUAGGAGCUCCUGCUGCAUGGUGGGGGUUGGAAAGUUUCGGCGGUUGGGGAUGGACUCGCGGCUUAUGAGCUUGUUGGUGGGGUAGUGGCUUACCAAGGCUUUGACGGGUAGCCGGCCUGAGAGGGUGACCGGCCACAAUGGGACUGAGAUACGGCCCAGACGCCAACGGGAGGCAGCAGUGGGGAAUAUUGCACAAUGGGCGGAAGCCUGAUGCAGCAACGCCGGGUGCGGGAUGACGGCCUUCGGGUUGUAAACCGCUGUCGCCUGUGACGAAGCGUGAGUGACGGUAAUGGGUAAAGAAGCACCGGCUAACUACGUG
RNAcentral lists this ribosomal RNA (468 nucleotides) under uncultured bacterium. RNAcentral describes it as "partial 16S ribosomal RNA". It matches the Rfam family "Bacterial small subunit ribosomal RNA", at positions 28 to 507 of the family's 1533-position model. The record is from RNAcentral.